Molecule: long non-coding RNA, 185 nt
Organism: Pan paniscus (pygmy chimpanzee)
Lineage: Eukaryota; Metazoa; Chordata; Mammalia; Primates; Hominidae
Source: Ensembl
GAAGUUUCCACUCAACAUUCAGGGUCCCAUGAUAACCACUUGGAGUUUAUUGUUAAAUCUGAGGACCCCAACUGGCUCCAGAAGGAACUCUGCCCUCUACCAGAAAAGGAUGAAGAGAAGAACUCAACCUCACAGAAAAAUAACAACCAGCCUAUGAACUCCCUUUCCCCAGAAUAAAAGAGGUC